GCUUUCGGGUGUCGCUGAUGGAUGGACCCGCGGUGCAUUAGCUAGUUGGUGAGGUAACGGCUCACCAAGGCGACGAUGCAUAGCCGACCUGAGAGGGUGAUCGGCCACAUUGGGACUGAGACACGGCCCAAACUCCUACGGGAGGCAGCAGUAGGGAAUCUUCGGCAAUGGACGAAAGUCUGACCGAGCAACGCCGCGUGAGUGAAGAAGGUUUUCGGAUCGUAAAACUCUGUUGUUAGAGAAGAACAAGGAUGAGAGUAACUGUUCAUCCCUUGACGGUAUCUAACCAGAGAGCCACGGCUAACUACGUGCCAGCAGCCGCGGUAAUACGUAGGUGGCAAGCGUUGUCCGGAUUUAUUGGGCGUAAAGCGAGCGCAGGCGGUUUCUUAAGUCUGAUGUGAAAGCCCCCGGCUCAACCGGGGAGGGUCAUUGGAAACUGGGAGACUUGAGUGCAGAAGAGGAGAGUGGAAUUCCAUGUGUAGCGGUGAAAUGCGUAGAUAUAUGGAGGAACACCAGUGGCGAAGGCGGCUCUCUGGUCUGUAACUGACGCUGAGGCUCGAAAGCGUGGGGAGCAAACAGGAUUAGAUACCCUGGUAGUCCACGCCGU
This 607-nucleotide ribosomal RNA is filed under the name uncultured bacterium. RNAcentral's name for it is "bacterial SSU rRNA". It matches the Rfam family "Bacterial small subunit ribosomal RNA", at positions 207 to 803 of the family's 1533-position model. The record is from RNAcentral.